This 449-nucleotide ribosomal RNA is filed under the name uncultured bacterium. RNAcentral's name for it is "SSU rRNA". It matches the Rfam family "Bacterial small subunit ribosomal RNA", at positions 26 to 518 of the family's 1533-position model. The record is from RNAcentral.
AGGAUGAACGCUGGCGGUCUGCUUAACACAUGCAAGUCGAACGGGCGUAGCAAUACGUUAGUGGCGGACGGGUGAGUAACGCGUGAGAAUCUACCUUCAGGACGGAGACAACAGUUGGAAACGACUGCUAACCCCCGAUGUACCGAAAGGGCAAAUAUUUAUAGCCUGAAGAAGAGCUCGCGUCCGAUUAGCUAGUUGGAGAGGUAAAAGCUCACCAAGGCGACGAUCGGUAGCUGGUCUGAGAGGACGAUCAGCCACACUGGGACUGAGACACGGCCCAGACUCCUACGGGAGGCAGCAGUGGGAAUUUCCGCAAUGGGCGAAAGCCUGACGGAGCAAGACCGCGUGGGGGAAGAAGGCUCUUGGGUUGUAAACCCCCUUUUCUCUGGGAAGAACGCAAUGACGGUACCAGAGGAAUCAGCAUCGGCUAACUCCGUGCCAGCAGCCGC